ACGCUGGCGGCAGGCCUAACACAUGCAAGUCGAGCGGUAGCACGGGAGAGCUUGCUCUCUGGGUGACGAGCGGCGGACGGGUGAGUAAUGUCUGGGAAACUGCCUGAUGGAGGGGGAUAACUACUGGAAACGGUAGCUAAUACCGCAUGACCUCGCAAGAGCAAAGUGGGGGACCUUCGGGCCUCACGCCAUCGGAUGUGCCCAGAUGGGAUUAGCUAGUAGGUGGGGUAAUGGCUCACCUAGGCGACGAUCCCUAGCUGGUCUGAGAGGAUGACCAGCCACACUGGAACUGAGACACGGUCCAGACUCCUACGGGAGGCAGCAGUGGGGAAUAUUGCACAAUGGGCGCAAGCCUGAUGCAGCCAUGCCGCGUGUGUGAAGAAGGCCUUAGGGUUGUAAAGCACUUUCAGCGAGGAGGAAGGCGCUGUAGUUAAUAGCUGCAGCGAUUGACGUUACUCGCAGAAGAAGCACCGGCUAACUCCGUGCCAGCAGCCGCGGUAAUACGGAGGGUGCAAGCGUUAAUCGGAAUUACUGGGCGUAAAGCGCACGCAGGCGGUUUGUUAAGUCAGAUGUGAAAUCCCCGAGCUUAACUUGGGAACUGCAUUUGAAACUGGCAAGCUAGAGUCUUGUAGAGGGGGGUAGAAUUCCAGGUGUAGCGGUGAAAUGCGUAGAGAUCUGGAGGAAUACCGGUGGCGAAGGCGGCCCCCUGGACAAAGACUGACGCUCAGGUGCGAAAGCGUGGGGAGCAAAC
RNAcentral lists this ribosomal RNA (751 nucleotides) under uncultured bacterium. RNAcentral describes it as "bacterial SSU rRNA". It matches the Rfam family "Bacterial small subunit ribosomal RNA", at positions 33 to 773 of the family's 1533-position model. The record is from RNAcentral.